This 17-nucleotide ribosomal RNA is filed under the name Synechococcus sp. BO 8801. RNAcentral's name for it is "partial 23S ribosomal RNA". The record is from RNAcentral. RNAcentral also lists the same sequence under 59 other names. Lineage: Bacteria; Bacillati; Cyanobacteriota; Cyanophyceae; Synechococcales; Synechococcaceae.
GGUCAAGCUACAAAGGG